RNAcentral lists this ribosomal RNA (567 nucleotides) under Rhodococcus opacus. Its description in RNAcentral is "bacterial SSU rRNA". It matches the Rfam family "Bacterial small subunit ribosomal RNA", at positions 90 to 671 of the family's 1533-position model. The record is from RNAcentral. Lineage: Bacteria; Bacillati; Actinomycetota; Actinomycetes; Mycobacteriales; Nocardiaceae.
CACGAGCGGCGAACGGGUGAGUAACACGUGGGUGAUCUGCCCUGCACUUCGGGAUAAGCCUGGGAAACUGGGUCUAAUACCGGAUAUGACCUUCGGCUGCAUGGCUGAGGGUGGAAAGGUUUACUGGUGCAGGAUGGGCCCGCGGCCUAUCAGCUUGUUGGUGGGGUAAUGGCCUACCAAGGCGACGACGGGUAGCCGACCUGAGAGGGUGACCGGCCACACUGGGACUGAGACACGGCCCAGACUCCUACGGGAGGCAGCAGUGGGGAAUAUUGCACAAUGGGCGAAAGCCUGAUGCAGCGACGCCGCGUGAGGGAUGACGGCCUUCGGGUUGUAAACCUCUUUCAGCAGGGACGAAGCGAAAGUGACGGUACCUGCAGAAGAAGCACCGGCCAACUACGUGCCAGCAGCCGCGGUAAUACGUAGGGUGCAAGCGUUGUCCGGAAUUACUGGGCGUAAAGAGUUCGUAGGCGGUUUGUCGCGUCGUUUGUGAAAACUCACGGCUCAACCUCGAGCCUGCAGGCGAUACGGGCAGACUUGAGUACUGCAGGGGAGACUGGAAUUCCU